UAAUCUUUAUGUCUCCGAGUUAUUUAACCUGAAAUAGAAUUCAAUGGAUAAAUAACCGAUAGGGUAUGAGCGGAAACACUUGUACCUCCCCAUCCUGGAAAGGAGAUAGCUACGAGAAUGU
Non-coding RNA from Nitrospirae bacterium RIFCSPLOW2_12_42_9, 121 nucleotides. The record is from Rfam. NCBI's taxonomy places the organism in Bacteria, Pseudomonadati, Nitrospirota.